GACGAACGCUGGCGGCGUGCUUAACACAUGCAAGUCGAACGGAAAGGCUCUGCUUUUGUGGGGUGCUCGAGUGGCGAACGGGUGAGUAACACGUGAGUAACCUGCCCUUGACUUUGGGAUAACUUCAGGAAACUGGGGCUAAUACCGGAUAGGAGCUCCUGCUGCAUGGUGGGGGUUGGAAAGUUUCGGCGGUUGGGGAUGGACUCGCGGCUUAUCAGCUUGUUGGUGGGGUAGUGGCUUACCAAGGCUUUGACGGGUAGCCGGCCUGAGAGGGUGACCGGCCACAUUGGGACGGAGAUACGGCCCAGACUCCUACGGGAGGCAGCAGUGGGGAAUAUUGCACAAUGGGCGGAAGCCUGAUGCAGCAACGCCGCGUGCGGGAUGACGGCCUUCGGGUUGUAAACCGCUUUCGCCUGUGACGAAGCGUGAGUGACGGUAAUGGGGAAAGAAGCACCGGCUAACUACGU
RNAcentral lists this ribosomal RNA (467 nucleotides) under uncultured bacterium. RNAcentral's name for it is "partial 16S ribosomal RNA". It matches the Rfam family "Bacterial small subunit ribosomal RNA", at positions 28 to 506 of the family's 1533-position model. The record is from RNAcentral.